AGACAAACAGCAAUAUAGAUGAUACAUCCCAAAAAAUAAAUAUGAAAUUAACUCACACACACACAAAGGUUUCAAGAUACUGUGUAUAAUUUCAUUCACAACUGUAUUUUCAACUACAUACAUACGGAAACCAACCUGUCACUCGACCAGUUAAUUGUUUCAAAAUAUUCUGCUUUGAUAUUAACUACAUGUUUAAUACACAUGAAGAAUUUCGUUUCCAUAGAUGUCCCCUCUGAUUUAUCCUUCCAUAAAAGUACAAUAAAAUCCCAAGUGAUAUUCUCUGGUCAAUACAUAAAAAUUACUUAUAAUCAACAAUGUUUAUUUAAUUCUUUAUAAAACGUCGCACACAAGCAGCUGCAUUGGAUACAAAAUAGACAGUUUAAACUAAGCCAGAUCACUCGACUAGUUUUCUCUCAGUUUGAUCUUCGUCCUUCGAUCUUUGAU
Molecule: long non-coding RNA, 444 nt
Filed under: Paramuricea clavata
Lineage: Eukaryota; Metazoa; Cnidaria; Anthozoa; Malacalcyonacea; Plexauridae
Source: RNAcentral